AGAAUUAGAACUAACUGGAAAGUUAGGCCAUAGACGGUGAUAGCCCGGUAUAAGUAAUGAAUGUAAAGGAUAGUGGUAUCCUGAGUAGGGCGGGGCACGUGAAACCCUGUCUGAAUCCGGCGGGACCAUCCGCCAAGGCUAAAUACUCCUGAGAGACCGAUAGUGAACCAGUACCGUGAGGGAAAGGUGAAAAGAACCGUGAAUAACGGAGUGAAAUAGAUCCUGAAACCAUACGCCUACAAGCGGUCGGAGCCCUUUAGUGGGGUGACGGCGUGCCUUUUGCAUAAUGAGCCUACGAGUUACCGUUGCUGGCAAGGAUAAGCACUUUUGGUGUGGAUCCGUAGCGAAAGCGAGUCUGAAUAGGGCGUGCAGUCAGAGGAGGUAGACGCGAAACCUUGUGAUCUACCCAUGGACAGGUUGAAGGUGCCGUAACAGGUACUGGAGGACCGAACCGAUAAACGUUGAAAAGUUUCCGGAUGAUUUGUGGGUAGGGGUGAAAGGCUAAUCAAACUGGGAAAUAGCUCGUACUCCCCGAAAUGCAUUUAGGUGCAGCGCUGGCUUAGUUUAUUAGAGGUAGAGCUACUGAUUGGAUGCGGGGGCUUCACCGCCUACCAAUUCCUGACAAACUCCGAAUGCUAAUAAAUGAUUACCAGUAGUGAGGGCAUGGGUGCUAAGGUCCAUGUCCGAGAGGGAAAGAACCCAGACCAUCAGCUAAGGUCCCCAAAUCUAUACUAAGUUGAAAAAACGAGGUUUGUCUGCCCAGACAGCUAGGAUGUUGGCUUGGAAGCAGCCAUUCAUUUAAAGAGUGCGUAACAGCUCACUAGUCGAGCGGACGAGCAUGGAUAAUAAUCGGGCAUAAGUAUAGUACCGAAGCUAUGGAUUUACAAUUUAUUGUAAGUGGUAGGGGAGCAUUC
This 914-nucleotide ribosomal RNA is filed under the name Foraminifera environmental sample. RNAcentral's name for it is "partial Bacterial large subunit ribosomal RNA". It matches the Rfam family "Bacterial large subunit ribosomal RNA", at positions 328 to 1241 of the family's 2925-position model. The record is from RNAcentral. Lineage: Eukaryota; Foraminifera.